Myotis daubentonii (Daubenton's bat) is the source of this 1615-nucleotide RNA transcript. It is a transcript of the gene named izumo sperm-oocyte fusion 1, with no coding region annotated. The record is from RefSeq and is a predicted model, not a curated record. Lineage: Eukaryota; Metazoa; Chordata; Mammalia; Chiroptera; Vespertilionidae.
GGAGUACCUCGUGGCGUGGGGCGAGCCGUGCUUCUGACCCCAGUCCAAUGCUCUCGAUACCACGCAACCAACCUCACCCUCGCCCCUAACCAAAACCCCUCAUUUUAGUAGUGGGAAAAUAGUAGGGUGGAGGGACGUGGCCGGGUCCUCCUCUCGCAUAGCCCUCAGAGCCUGGACCCCCGGCUCUUCCGCGAACCCUAGUGUUUGCGGGCACAAGGCUCUAGAGUCCGGAUCGGGCAGUGGCUGAUGUGGGUGCAUCGGGACUCCUCGUGUUCCUAACGAGAAGUGUGCGCCCUGCACAUUGGGGGGAGGUGGGGGGGGGGGUCCGUUCAUCUCGGGGAAGGGCAUCUCUUCGUUUAGCGCUCACGGCCUCCGGGAGAAAGGACCUUUCCCGGAGGUCGGCGUGGAUUGAACGCCCUGGCCUCAAUGGGGCCGCGGUUUCCUCUCCUGGUGGCCGCGCUGGGCAGCUGCCUGCUUCCUGCCCUGGGUUGUCUCUGGUGUGAUCAAAGGGUCGUGGAGGCUCUAAAAUCCUUGGAGACGGAUUACUUGCCCGACCACUUGGGGGCUGAGCAUCACAAACACCUGAUGGAAAAGUUAGAGAAUGCCGUGAAGGAUUUCAAGAACCUGGAGCUUGAGGACGACGAAUCCUUUCUGGAGGUCGUGGAUGAUGCCACACUGGAAAAGGGAACCUGGAGUUUUCUGAAGGAACUGAAACGCAUCACGGACAGUGAUGUAAAAGGUGAGCUCCUCGUGAAGGAGCUGUUCUGGAUGUUGAAGCAGCAAAAGGAGACCUUUGGCAGACACGUUUCUCUGUUCCAAAAAGAUGCUCUCUGUCCCAACAAAUGCGGUAUGAUGUUGCAGACUCUGACCUGGUGCGAUUCCUGCGAGAAGAAGCUUCACGCUUGUCGGAAGAACAUGGAUUGCGGGGAGCGCAGAGUCAAUGUCCAUGAAAUGGAAGACAUGAUCCUGGACUGUGAGCUCAACUGGCAUCCCAUCUCUGAAGGCCUGACUGAUUACACCUUUUACAGGGUUUGGAAGAACAAAUCUGAGAGCAUGGUGUACAAGGGGACAGCGCCCACCCUGACCAAGACCAGGGCGACGCCGUCGGAUGCGGGCAUCUACCGCUGCCAGCUGAACACCGUGAAAAACAGCCCCGCCACAAUCAUCCGUUAUCAUGUCAGAGUGUUGCCCAAAAGAGUUGUGGAGGAGACGCCGUCCACAAACAUCAUCCCAAACCCGGAGGAUGUGACCCUGGAUGAGGUGACUUGGACGCCCAACAAGUCGGCCACCACCAUCCCGCCUCCUCCGUCGUCGCCGUCUUCCGCGGCUCAGUCCCCGACGGUGGAGAACAUGCUGAGAAGCCUCCUGGUCGGGCUGCUGAUCUGGGGCUUUGUGGUGCUGAUAGCCAGCAUUGUCAUCUUGUGAGCAGCCUGCAGAGAAAGGCAGGGCUUGGCGUGAGGGGCGGGACUUCCAGUCCAGAGGAUGCUCUGCUAUUGGUCCGAGAAGAAUCCUGGAUACUUCAUUGAUUCCAUAAAGUCCUGGGUCAGCACUGCCAAGGAGGCAGCUCAGAGCCCCAACGUCCCAGAGAAAAAGGACAAAAAAUCUAGGAGCCAAU